This 104-nucleotide transfer RNA is filed under the name Phytophthora sojae. RNAcentral describes it as "tRNA PHYSODRAFT_t1376". It matches the Rfam family "tRNA". Rfam says of the family: Transfer RNA (tRNA) molecules are approximately 80 nucleotides in length. Their secondary structure includes four short double-helical elements and three loops (D, anti-codon, and T loops). RNAcentral also lists the same sequence under 1 other name. The record is from RNAcentral. Lineage: Eukaryota; Oomycota; Peronosporomycetes; Peronosporales; Peronosporaceae.
CCGAGUGUAGCUCAGUUGGUAGAGCGAUUGACUGUAGUGUUCUAUACUGUGUCUUAGUAUACUCGGAAAUCAAUUGGUCGCUGGUUCGAUUCCGGCCACUCGGA